Molecule: unclassified non-coding RNA, 284 nt
Filed under: plant metagenome
Description: partial contains small subunit ribosomal RNA, internal transcribed spacer 1, and 5.8S ribosomal RNA
Source: RNAcentral
UUUCCGUAGGUGAACCUGCGGAAGGAUCAUUAAAUAAUUUAGAUGACCUCCUAGAACUUGUUCUAGUUAGGUUCAUUCUUUUUUACUGUGAACUGUUUUAAUUUUCAGCGUUUGAGGAAUGUCUUUUAGUCAUAGGGAUAGACUAUUAGAAUGUUAACCGAGCUGAAGUCAGGUUUAGACCUGGGAUCCUAUUAAUUAUUUACCAAAAGAAUUCAGUAUUAUUAUUGUAACAUAAGCGUAAAAAACUUAUAAAACAACUUUUAACAACGGAUCUCUUGGUUCUC